GAUGAACGCUGGCGGCGUGCCUAAUACAUGCAAGUAGAACGCUGAAGGAAGGAGCUUGCUCUUUCCGGAUGAGUUGCGAACGGGUGAGUAACGCGUAGGUAACCUGCCUGGUAGCGGGGGAUAACUAUUGGAAACGAUAGCUAAUACCGCAUAACAGUAGAUGUUGCAUGAUAUCUACUUAAAAGGUGCAAUUGCACCACUACCAGAUGGACCUGCGUUGUAUUAGCUAGUUGGUGAGGUAACGGCUCACCAAGGCGACGAUACAUAGCCGACCUGAGAGGGUGAUCGGCCAAACUGGGAAUGGGACACCGCCCAGACUCCUAAGGGAAGCAGCAGUAGGGGAUCUUCGGCAAUGGACGGAAGGCUGACCGAACAACGCCGCGUGAGUGAAGAAGGGUUUCGGAUCGUAAAGCUCUGUUGUAAGAGAAGAACGGGUGUGAGAGUGAAAAGUUCACACUGUGACGGUAUCUUACCAGAAAGGGACGGCUAACUACGUG
Molecule: ribosomal RNA, 497 nt
Filed under: uncultured bacterium
Lineage: Bacteria
Description: partial 16S ribosomal RNA
Rfam family: Bacterial small subunit ribosomal RNA
Source: RNAcentral